RNAcentral lists this long non-coding RNA (1045 nucleotides) under Mytilus galloprovincialis (Mediterranean mussel). Lineage: Eukaryota; Metazoa; Mollusca; Bivalvia; Mytilida; Mytilidae. The record is from RNAcentral.
GAUUUUUAUCUAAGAUCUAGCUUAUUUGCUUUGAAUUAUUUUAGAACGAACAACGCCUGUAUCUGGUUCAUCUCAUUUAACAAGAAAUUUGAAGGAAUCUACACCAGAAUUUAAAAAGUCCUUCGAAGGUAAGAGGACCCCAUACACAAACACCACUUUAUUUUAUCAUAAAAUUAUUUGGUGUGUUCACGUUUCUCAAACAUCUGAUAUUCUUCUAUACAGGUAAUGAGUUGUUUAUUUAGUAGAACGUUAUGUAUUACAUGAAUACUGUAAAUGGAACUUACCUGUAUAAUUGAAUAACAAAAAAACAAAAAAAUCCUGCUCAAAUGAACUGUUGAAUAGUAAAAUAAUUGUCCCAAAUUAAAAAAGUCAAAAUUAAAAAGUAUAUAAUAUAGCAAUUGAACAAAGAGCAUUAAAAGUAUACAAAUACCUGAAUCAAUUUUAUGAUAAACAAUAUAAGUCCUUAAAGACAAAUACUCAAGAAAAUCUUAAAAGUAUGCUCAGCAAUUGUUUAAACUUGACAGAAAAAUUAUAGAAUAAUACAACAAGUUACGCACAAUAAACUUUGUAUCAGAUACAAAAAACAUGUAUUUUUAAAUAUAUCAAGUCAUGUAAUUAAGGUGGUAUGGGUGUCUUUCGCCAUCUUUGAUUGUAAAGGGCAGAGAAAAAUAAGGACCGGAUUUUUAAUCAAAUAAGCAAAAUUUAAUGCAGGAAUGCAGACAACGAAUGUCAACAUACAUUUAAAAGAAUUAAUUUAUAUCUUCUCGUAUUUCAUGUAUUUUAUUUUACAUUUCUAUCAUUAAGUUUAGCUUUUAAUCACAUUAUGAUAUUUUUUCUAUAUCAUACUAUUAGUUUAUUGAUAUUGUUUAAAGUUUGAACGGGAAUAUUUUUAGUCCGAACCAUAUUCGGAUUCUUAUCUAAGAUCUAGCUUAUUUGCUUACAAUUAUUUUAGAACGAACAACGCCUGUAUCUGGUUCAUCUCAUUUAACAAGAAAUUUGAAGGAAUCUACACCAGAAUUUAAAAAGUCCUUCGAAGGUAAGAGGA